RNAcentral lists this non-coding RNA (26 nucleotides) under Homo sapiens (human). Lineage: Eukaryota; Metazoa; Chordata; Mammalia; Primates; Hominidae. The record is from RNAcentral.
UUGUGAGGGUGAUUAGUUUGGCUAGU